This is a non-coding RNA of Myotis davidii, 75 nucleotides long. Lineage: Eukaryota; Metazoa; Chordata; Mammalia; Chiroptera; Vespertilionidae. The record is from Rfam.
GGCAGUUCUCGGGUGACGCACCCGGGAAUCGGGCUCCCUCCUCUCUGGUUCCGGCUGCAUAACCAGAGAACCGCA